This 250-nucleotide ribosomal RNA is filed under the name uncultured prokaryote. RNAcentral describes it as "partial 16S ribosomal RNA". It matches the Rfam family "Bacterial small subunit ribosomal RNA", at positions 524 to 773 of the family's 1533-position model. The record is from RNAcentral.
UACGUAGGGAGCGAGCGUUGUCCGGAAUUACUGGGUGUAAAGGGUGCGUAGGCGGCCAGGCAAGUCAGACGUGAAAUACAUGGGCUUAACCCAUGGACUGCGUUUGAAACUGUCGGGCUUGAGUGAAGUAGAGGCAGGCGGAAUUCCCUGUGUAGCGGUGAAAUGCGUAGAGAUAGGGAGGAACACCAGUGGCGAAGGCGGCCUGCUGGGCUUUAACUGACGCUGAGGCACGAAAGCAUGGGUAGCAAAC